UGGGGAAUAUUGGACAAUGGGCGCAAGCCUGAUCCAGCCAUACCGCGUGGGUGGAGAAGGCCUUCGGGUUGUAAAGCCCUUUUGUUGGGAAAGAAAUCCAGUCGGCUAAUACCUGGUUGGGAUGACGGUACCCAAAGAAUAAGCACCGGCUAACUUCGUGCCAGCAGCCGCGGUAAUACGAAGGGUGCAAGCGUUACUCGGAAUUACUGGGCGUAAAGCGUGCGUAGGUGGUCGUUUAAGUCCGUUGUGAAAGCCCUGGGCUCAACCUGGGAACUGCAGUGGAUACUGGGCGACUAGAGUGUGGUAGAGGGUAGCGGAAUUCCUGGUGUAGCAGUGAAAUGCGUAGAGAUCAGGAGGAACAUCCAUGGCGAAGGCAGCUACCUGGACCAACACUGACACUGAGGCACGAAAGCGUGGGGAGCAAACAGGAUUAGAUACCCUGGUAGUCCACGCCCUAAACGAUGCGAACUGGAUGUUGGGUGCAAUUUGGCACGCAGUAUCGAAGCUAACGCGUUAAGUUCGCCGCCUGGGGAGUACGGUCGCAAGACUG
RNAcentral lists this ribosomal RNA (550 nucleotides) under uncultured bacterium. RNAcentral describes it as "bacterial SSU rRNA". It matches the Rfam family "Bacterial small subunit ribosomal RNA", at positions 355 to 896 of the family's 1533-position model. The record is from RNAcentral.